Humulus lupulus (European hop) is the source of this 1214-nucleotide long non-coding RNA. RefSeq lists it as uncharacterized. NCBI's taxonomy places the organism in Eukaryota, Viridiplantae, Streptophyta, Magnoliopsida, Rosales, Cannabaceae. The transcript has 3 exons. The record is from RefSeq and is a predicted model, not a curated record.
UGAGUGUGUGUAUUCCAGGUUCAAGUCACCAUAGAUAUCUCUUUAUAACAAACAAAAAAGAUAAAAAAAAAAAGAGCAUUCAGAGUCUAAGAAAAGAAACAUAAUUUGAUGGAAAGUGUCAUUCUCUUGUGUAUUAAAUUAUUAAUUCAUAUCCUGUUUUAAUGGAAAUCUUUGGUUCAGUCAAAGGUCAAGGUUUGGGUGGUUAACAACCUUAAAUAAAUUGAACACACAAGAGAAGUUAUGGCAGUGCAAGCCAUUUCCACUGAUUUCUCUUGGUGUUUUUUAAUACAAAAAGAACUCAGUCUAGUGAUCAUGGCAAACUAAUAGUUGGAGAUGUGUAAUGCUUGUUAUUGUAACCAGAUGUGUGUGUGUGUGAUAUCUAAUAACUCCCUCAAAACUAGCAUUGCGAACUUGUGUUGAAACUCACUGUGUUCAGUAAUUUGAAUUAGUUUUAGACAUCUGUUUCAUUGCAGUUGCAAAUCUGUAGUAGAUUAGAAUUACCAUUACUAUUUACUUUACACGUUUGGCUGCUAACCUGCUUUUGUUAUCUGUGAUUGUAGUGUGGGAUCAUUCAGUUCACUUGUUUGUAAAGGCAAAGAGUGGAAGAUUAUUCUAAAAGAAUGGUUAAAUCUGUUGAAAUUGAUGCAGAACCUUAAAUCCUUUUAUCGGAAUCAAUUCCUUAAAGAUGUGCUGGAAAAUAGGCUUUUGGAUGCAAAUGAUCCUGAGAUACGAACAGCUGUUCUUGAAUGACUGUUGAUCUGGAAAGAUGAUUUUCUGCUAUCAUAUGAUCAGCACCUGAAAAAUUUGCUCAACUUUACUAGUUUCAGAGAGGAACUAACCACAUGGAGUUUAUCCAGAGAAUCUAAACUUAUUGAAGAGCCCCACAGACCUUACCUUGUACCUAUAGUUAUACGUCUUCUGAUGCCAAAAGUCAGGAAGUUGAAGAGGAAUGCCUCACGAAAGCAUGCAAGUGUAAAUUACCGAAAGGCGGUUCUUGGUUUCUUAGCGCAACUUGAUGUUGAUGAGCUUCCCUUUUUCUAUGCAUUGUUAAUGAAGCCUUUGCAAGUUGUGCAAGUGGGAAGUGAUGGUACAUCUGACUGGUUUUGGACUUCGACCGGAAGCUCAAAAGAUAGGUUUAUUAGACUAUUGUGUCCCACAUGAAAUAAGUGUAAGAAUAUUGAACUAUUAAUAAGAACAUGUUUAACUCCACUAAU